This 399-nucleotide RNase P RNA is filed under the name Peteryoungia ipomoeae. RNAcentral's name for it is "Rhizobium ipomoeae RNase P RNA component class A". It matches the Rfam family "Bacterial RNase P class A". Rfam says of the family: Ribonuclease P (RNase P) is a ubiquitous endoribonuclease, found in archaea, bacteria and eukarya as well as chloroplasts and mitochondria. Its best characterised activity is the generation of mature 5'-ends of tRNAs by cleaving the 5'-leader elements of precursor-tRNAs. Cellular RNase Ps are ribonucleoproteins. The record is from RNAcentral. Lineage: Bacteria; Pseudomonadati; Pseudomonadota; Alphaproteobacteria; Hyphomicrobiales; Rhizobiaceae.
CCAGUCGGCCGGGCAGCCGCGCUUUACCAAUGCCGAAAGGUGGUAGGGUGAGGAAAGUCCGGGCUCCACGGAUACACGGUGCCGGAUAACGUCCGGCGAGGGCGACCUCAGGGAAAGUGCCGCAGAAAGCAAACCGCCCCGCUUGCGGGGUAAGGGUGAAAGGGUGGGGUAAGAGCCCACCGCAUCGCUGGUGACAGGGAUGGCAAGGUAAACCCCACCGGGAGCAAGACCGAAUAGGGAUGACGUGGGCAGCGCUCCGGCGCGGCUACAGCCGGUUUCCGGGCCAGUCAUCCGGGUGGGUUGCGAGAGGCAGCGCGCAAGCGCUGUCCCAGAUGAAUGGCUGCCACGUUCCGGGAAACCGGGGCCAUACAGAACCCGGCUUACAGGCCGACUGGCGAU